CUAAAGGUCAACGCUACUUUGGUAGAUCUUCCCGGAGUUACCAACAUUAGCGACGAAGACGACCUCACUGUUAAUAAAAAUAAUGGGGAGAUACGCAAAGAUGCCUGAAACUCUAAUGCUCCAUGUUAUCCGCGGGAUCAAGAUCAAGGUUUGGACUAAUUGUGAUAAACUUGAAAAUUUUGAUCGCGAUAACAAUUACGAGAUGAACGAGUCUACAAAA
Long non-coding RNA from Zophobas morio, 220 nucleotides. RefSeq lists it as uncharacterized. Lineage: Eukaryota; Metazoa; Arthropoda; Insecta; Coleoptera; Tenebrionidae. The record is from RefSeq and is a predicted model, not a curated record. The transcript is spliced from 3 exons.